UUAAAACAGUUAUAGUUUAUUUGAUGGUCACUUUUACAUGGAUAACCAUGGUAAUUCUAUGGCUAAUACAUGCGCACUCGCCUCCUUCUCUGGAGGGGCUGUGUUUAUUAGAUACAAAACCCAACCCACUUUGUGGAGUCCUGGUGAUUCAUAGUAACCGAACGGAUCGCAGUUGGCUUCGGCCCGCGAUAUAUCUUUCAAGUUUCUGACCUAUCAGCUUUCGACGGUAGGGUAUUGGCCUACCGUGGCAGUGACGGGUAACGGGGAAUUAGGGUUCGAUUCCGGAGAGGGAGCCUGAGAAACGGCUACCACAUCUAAGGAAGGCAGCAGGCGCGCAAAUUACCCAAUGAAAACAGCUUCGAGGUAGUGACGAGAAAUAACAAUACAGGGCAUUUUUUGUUCUGUAAUUGGAAUGAUGGGAAUGUAAAACCCUUUCAGAGUAACAAUUGGAGGGCAAGUCUGGUGCCAGCAGCCGCGGUAAUUCCAGCUCCAAUAGUGUAUAUUAGAGUUGUUGCAGUUAAAAAGCUCGUAGUUGGAUUUCUGUCGUGGUCAUCCGGUUCCGCCCGUAUGGGUGUGCACCUGGUUUGCCCUCGGCUUUCUUCCGUUUGCCUCUUGGCGCUUCAUUGCGUCUUUUGGUUUUUCGGAACUUUUACUUUGAGAAAAAUAGAGUGUUUCAAGCAGGCUUGUCGCCCUGAAUACUUCAGCAUGGAAUAAUAAGAUAGGACCUUGGUUCUAUUUU
Molecule: ribosomal RNA, 739 nt
Filed under: Eimeria ferrisi
Lineage: Eukaryota; Apicomplexa; Conoidasida; Eucoccidiorida; Eimeriidae
Description: SSU rRNA
Rfam family: Eukaryotic small subunit ribosomal RNA
Source: RNAcentral